Molecule: ribosomal RNA, 609 nt
Filed under: uncultured Vibrio sp.
Lineage: Bacteria; Pseudomonadati; Pseudomonadota; Gammaproteobacteria; Vibrionales; Vibrionaceae
Description: bacterial SSU rRNA
Rfam family: Bacterial small subunit ribosomal RNA
Source: RNAcentral
ACAGGAAUUAGCUUGCUAAUUCGCUGACGAGCGGCGGACGGGUGAGUAAUGCCUGGGAAUAUGCCUUGAUGUGGGGGAUAACUAUUGGAAACGAUAGCUAAUACCGCAUAAUGUCUUCGGACCAAAGAGGGGGAUCUUCGGACCUCUCGCGUCAAGAUUAGCCCAGGUGAGAUUAGCUAGUUGGUGGGGUAAGAGCUCACCAAGGCGACGAUCUCUAGCUGGUCUGAGAGGAUGAUCAGCCACACUGGAACUGAGACACGGUCCAGACUCCUACGGGAGGCAGCAGUGGGGAAUAUUGCACAAUGGGCGAAAGCCUGAUGCAGCCAUGCCGCGUGUAUGAAGAAGGCCUUCGGGUUGUAAAGUACUUUCAGUCGUGAGGAAGGGUGUGUAGUUAAUAGCUGCACAUCUUGACGUUAGCGACAGAAGAAGCACCGGCUAACUCCGUGCCAGCAGCCGCGGUAAUACGGAGGGUGCGAGCGUUAAUCGGAAUUACUGGGCGUAAAGCGCAUGCAGGUGGUUCAUUAAGUCAGAUGUGAAAGCCCGGGGCUCAACCUCGGAACCGCAUUUGAAACUGGUGAACUAGAGUGCUGUAGAGGGGGGUAGAAUUUC